This 394-nucleotide ribosomal RNA is filed under the name uncultured bacterium. RNAcentral describes it as "bacterial SSU rRNA". It matches the Rfam family "Bacterial small subunit ribosomal RNA", at positions 505 to 898 of the family's 1533-position model. The record is from RNAcentral.
GUGCCAGCAGCCGCGGUAAGACGAACCGUGCGAACGUUGUUCGGAAUCACUGGGCUUAAAGGGCGCGUAGGCGGCCGGGUUGGUCGUGGGUGAAAUCCCCCAGCUCAACUGGGGAAUUGCCUACGAUACUGCCUGGCUCGAGGGAGGAAGGGGCGGCCGGAACUGUCGGUGGAGCGGUGAAAUGCGUUGAGAUCGACAGGAACGCCGGUGGCGAAAGCGGGCCGCUGGCCCUCUUCUGACGCUGAUGCGCGAAAGCCAGGGGAGCGAACGGGAUUAGAUACCCCGGUAGUCCUGGCCUUAAACGAUGGGCACUAGGUAGUGGGCUCGACCUGGGCGCACUGCCGCAGCGAAAGUCAUUAGUGCCCCGCCUGGGGAGUAUGGUCGCAAGGCUGAA